CCAUUACUGUGACUUGUUGUCUGAAACAGUGACUGAAGAUGGCAUCUCCCGCCUGUAUGAAGCUUUUCAGGAAGUGCCUUUGACAUGUGACAGGACCACAGGGCACAUCCUCAAUAGACAUUACAAAUGGCUGCAGAAGCUUGGAAAUCUCGUGUCGGGUUCCGCAUUCGACUAGGGAACCGGGACCGACACAGAAGACCUCUUUGUCCUGCUAUGACAUCUAGAGGCUAACAGGAGCCAACCGGCCCACCACUGAUCACAUCUCUUGGGAGACGGCAAAGCAGCUGCUGCAUGGGAAGGAGGAGAGAAAGAGGCAGAGC
Long non-coding RNA from Mauremys reevesii (Reeves's turtle), 320 nucleotides. RefSeq lists it as uncharacterized. The record is from RefSeq and is a predicted model, not a curated record. Lineage: Eukaryota; Metazoa; Chordata; Testudines; Geoemydidae. The transcript has 3 exons.